AACGAACGCUGGCGGCAUGCCUAACACAUGCAAGUCGAACGAGACCUUCGGGUCUAGUGGCGCACGGGUGCGUAACGCGUGGGAACCUGCCCUUAGGUUCGGAAUAACUCCCCGAAAGGGGUGCUAAUACCGGAUAAUGUCUUCGGACCAAAGAUUUAUCGCCUUUGGAUGGGCCCGCGUUGGAUUCGCUAGUUGGUAGGGUAAAAGCCUACCAAGGCGACGAUCCAUAGCUGGUCGGAGAGGAUGAUCAGCCACACUGGGACUGAGACACGGCCCAGACUCCUACGGGAGGCAGCAGUGGGGAAUAUUGGACAAUGGGCGAAAGCCUGAUCCAGCAAUGCCGCGUGAGUGAUGAAGGCCUUAGGGUUGUAAAGCUCUUUUACCCGGGAUGAUAAUGACAGUACCGGGAGAAUAAGCACCGGCUAACUCCGUG
Molecule: ribosomal RNA, 433 nt
Filed under: uncultured bacterium
Lineage: Bacteria
Description: partial 16S ribosomal RNA
Rfam family: Bacterial small subunit ribosomal RNA
Source: RNAcentral